UUCUCCGCUGCCCGGGGGGUCAUCAGUGGCCCCGCAAUUAAAAACUAAUUGCAUUGCGCGCCCCCUCUUUCUCCCCCCUCUCCGCCCCCCCGGUGUUUGCGGCGGCGCGGGGAUGCUGCACCUCUGCGGGAGCGGGGAACCUGUUGGAAUCUGAGUGGAACUUGCGCGACGCUUCGCUCUCCCUCUCUCGCUCCCUUCUUCCUCGCUUCCCACCCCUCUCUCUCCUUCCUCUCCUCUCUCCCCCGGUGCCCCCUGCCGCAGCCGCGCCCCCCGCCCAGCUGGGCGCGCUCGGGGCGAUCGCCCGGUUCGGGCGCUGUGGCUGGAAUGGGCGCUAGUUAAAUGUGGAAAACGAGGCCCCCCGAGCGGGGCCGGUUGGGUUCUCUCCGCGGCACCCUCGGGCUGCGGUGUCCCCCGAGCGUUGGGCGAUCCCCCCACCCCGCCUGCCUUCGCUCCCCGCCGAGCCGGGAGCCGCAGCAGCGACCUGCGCUCGUGUCCGGUGGCUUCGGUUCGAGCAUCCCCCGUUAACGCCGCUCACGUUUCCAGUAUGUCCGUGGGGCGGCACGGUGCCACACGGCCGUAGGAGCGGUGCUGUGUCCGGGAUGUUUGGGAAGAACAAGAGGCCAUUGAACGAUCUGUUGAAUCCCGCUCGUAGGAAAGGGGGGACGAAGGGGCCGCCAGCCCGGCGAACAAAGAGCUUUAUUCACAGCCUGUGUACAUGUCCAUGCCUUCCCCGCUCUUCCCGGGCGGCCUUUUUGGUGGGGUGGUGGUGAGGGGAGAGCGCCGGGGUCGUUUUCAGCUUGUUCUCCCUGCGAACGGGGCCGGGGCUGGUGCCCGCCCGCCGGCUCCGACGAGGGCUGCGCCUCCCGCCUGCGCUCGGUCGCGCUGGGCAGCCCCGAAGGGCGACCCGGCCCCGAUGCCGGCGCUCCGCGGCCCCGAGCCCGUUCCGGGGAGCCAGAGCGAAAGAAAGGAGCCCCCGCGGCGGCUCUUGGCGCUGCGAGCCGGGGAAACGCUCCGCUCCGGCUCCCCCGCGCCCGGGCUUCCUGCGGUCGCUGUGUUGGAGCUUCUCAGAUGUCUCGUCACAAGGUGCUGUUUGUGUGUUCGGUGCUUUUCGCUGCCUGGUGAGUCUCCCGCCGGUGUGACCUGGGGACUCUGGCACUGAGAAACUCCCAGGUUGGGAAUACGAGCCCGGCUCCUGGACGGCCGCGUUCAUCCUUUGUUUUGCUGUCUUGCUCACCUCAGAUUCUCUAAGAGCAGUUUUUAACUGGAGGCCAGAGUGAUCCCCCGGCAGGCUCAGCCUGUUCGCCGCUGCCCAACCAGCGGGUGGAACUGUGAUUUGGGAUCGCAGAGCUGCUGAAGGGAAACUAAAGCAGGGCUGGAUGCUGGCUCGCAGUGGCUGUGCCUGACCCGAGUACCGGGGUGAGAAGCACUGUGCAGCGUGAGCUGAGGUUGUGGUAAGACAGAUAUUUUGUGGUUGUGGUGCUGUGUUGUGAAUUGCAGGAUAAAAUCCCAGUCUGUCUGCGUUUAGGCAAAAUUUCCUUACAGUUUAGAACCUUUUUUUCCUUUUUUCCCCCCAUUCUCCCCCUUUUCCAAGCUAACAGUGUUAGCCUCAGUGUUCUUCGAAGAGAGAAUUAUUGUGAGGCAGCAGCGUCAGUGCUGAGCGCAGAGUGCUGUCGCUGUGUCUCCCGCACGGCUGCCACCCGAGGCACAACGGUGCCAGCGCUGUGUCACCGCCGUGGUGGCACCCCAUGAUGCAGAGUGAGGCUCAGGGUUCUGCUGCCUCCCUUCACCGAGGCGACUGGAACGGCAGCAGGCAGCAGCGAGGCUCGGUUUGGGAUGAGCCUGUGCGAUCAGGUGGAUCCGUGUGUCUGUGUUCCUCUCCAGCCUCUCUCGAUGCUCUGCGAUUCGUGGCGCUCCUGAUGCCCCUGUGCAGCAGGGCGAGGGCUGAGGAGCGCUCUCGGCUCACUCUGAGGCGCUUGGGCAGCGCUGGGCUGGAACUCGGAGUCUGUCAGCGCUGGCACUCGGCACUUCAGGGAGAGCAACUUUCCAGCAGGAGCCUCAGGAGGUGUUUGGAGACGGCGUUGGCGUGGAGCCGUGACCGGGCCAUGGCACGGAGCUGCGAGGGGCUGGCCAGGGCUGGCUGUGGCUGCAGCCUCCGUGUCUGCCGACACCAAACCGGCCCGGGAGAAGCCCCCCAUGAAGGCAGCGAGCGCUCCCAGCGCGGCUGCGCUGAGCCAGGCUCCUUUGUAAACACAGAGCAGUUGAGCCCAGGUUUAUAAGCACGACAGUCUGGUUUGAAACUACUGCCAAGGAGGCUCCUGAGGAUGGGAAGGCGAGGAGAUCGCUCUGCUCCGUGCGCGCUCCGCUCUGAGGAGGGGGCGGCUGUCAGCACUGUCUGCAGGAUGGACAUGCCCAGGUGGACUCUGUUGGAUGGACGCCGCCGGAUGGGCGCUGCCGGUGUCCCUGGGCACGGGUGGCCGCCGUUGGUGGCUGAGGUGGCUGCGGUGACAAGAGGCCAGAGAAGAGCCGUGCUCCCCGGGGACCCCGGCCAUACCAGCGGCCGUUGUGCUGAUGCUGCGCUGCCGCCGCCUUUGUUUGCCUUGCGCUGUCUUUCCUGGUGUGUAAAUAAAGAAGGCUUUGUAAUCAAA
This is a long non-coding RNA of Haemorhous mexicanus (house finch), 2645 nucleotides long. RefSeq lists it as uncharacterized. NCBI's taxonomy places the organism in Eukaryota, Metazoa, Chordata, Aves, Passeriformes, Fringillidae. The transcript has 2 exons. The record is from RefSeq and is a predicted model, not a curated record.